CUGUCCUUCCACAAGCAGGCAAAGACUGUUCUCUUCAGCUUCCUUACAGCUCCUGCACUCUGAAAGAUUCAGCACGCAACCCAAGAGAAGAAAAUAUGAUACGCCACCGUUAACAGUUGCCCUGACAACAGGGACAUAUCCUAAUCAAAAGGAGGUCCACGAAUGUCGUCUCCUCAGCUGCAGGAAAGCAGCCUGCCGGAAUGUCCUCUCUCUCUCUCUCUCUCUCUCUCUCUCUCUCUCACACACACACACACACACACACACACACACACACACACACACACACACUUUGCACACUGGCUGCUGAGGCAAAGCAAGCAGGGCCCGAAGAAAGGCUGAAACCACCUAGCAAGCUGGGCUGCUCCUUCUUCCCUCAGAGACGGGUGGAGAAUGGAUGGAAGCGAUGGCUUACACAAGUGGAGAAGUUCUGAGGACAGGAAGCUGACAAGCCUCCAGGCAGACUGAUUGAAGCUACAACUAGAGGCACAGGAACAGUGACUUCUCUUGGCUACACCGCCCCCCUGCACAAACACACAGUUUCAGCACCCAGUGUUGCAGUAUUUGCACUAGAUAAGCAACAUUUCAUGAUUCCCCUCUACAAGGAUCAACACUUCUGAGCUAAUGAGUUAUUUUCAGACAAAUCUCACACAGUACACAA
Pogona vitticeps (central bearded dragon) is the source of this 658-nucleotide non-coding RNA. NCBI's taxonomy places the organism in Eukaryota, Metazoa, Chordata, Lepidosauria, Squamata, Agamidae. The record is from RefSeq and is a predicted model, not a curated record.